Parus major (Great Tit) is the source of this 1064-nucleotide long non-coding RNA. RefSeq lists it as uncharacterized. The record is from RefSeq and is a predicted model, not a curated record. The transcript has 2 exons. Lineage: Eukaryota; Metazoa; Chordata; Aves; Passeriformes; Paridae.
GCAAUCACAAGCACAAAUCCAGGCUGAGGAUGAGCAGAUGGAGCAACCCUGGUGAAGACUUGGGAGUGCUGGUGGGUGAGAGCUGGACAGACCCCAUCUUAGAAACCCCCCUGUGCUGGGCUGAUCCCCCAGUGUGGGCAGCAGGGGAGGGGGGAAAUCUGCUCCUCUGCCCUGCUCAGGUGAGAUCCCACCUGCAGAGCUGCCUUGAGCCCAGGGGUCCUCAGCAUCAGAAGGACAUGGAGCUCCUGGAAGUGGGUCCAGAGGUGGGUAGCAAAGAUCAGGGGCUGGAGUGCCUCUGCUUUGGAGACAGGCUGUGAGAACUGGGGGUGUUCAGCCUGGAGAAGAGGAGGCUCUAGGGAGAUCUUACAGCAGCCUUCCAGUGCCUAAAGUGACUCCCAGAGAGCUGGAGAAGGACUUUUGGACAAGGGCACAUAGGGACAGGACAAGGGUGAAUGGCUUCAAACUGAAAGGGCAUAGAUUUACAUUAGAGAGGACACGUUUUUAUGAUCAGAAUGGUGGGACCCUGGCACAGGUUGCCCAGGGAAGCUGUGGCUGCCCCAUCCCUGGAAGUGUUCAGGGCCAGGCUGGAUGGGGCUUGGAGCAGCCUGGGAUAGUGGAAGGUGUCCUGGCCCCUGGCAGGAGGGUGGAUCUGGAUGAGCUUUAACAUCCCUUCAAACCUAGACCAUUCUGGGAUUCUAGAUACAACCUUGCUGUUUUGGGAUGGUGCAUAAAAGUAUAAAAACUUCCUGGAUGCUCAUGUGUGUUGCUGAUGUCUUUUACACUUCUCUAGAUGCUGAACGGGUGGACAGCACAACGCUGUUGGGAACUUCAUGUGUGGACUGUGCUAAAAGGAAGUUAAGAGAAAGUGGCACUGAUUCUCCUAAGAGGAUAAAGCAGUCAGAUAAUGAUAUACCCACUCUUGAAUGAAAACCCCAAACACCCAAGGCCCACCUCAGCUUUUUAACAGUAGGUGUUUUACAUCUGCUGCAUGGAGAGUUUUGAGCUGGUAUUUCCAUAAUUUUAAGUGGAAUAAAAUUGCACAUACUAGCUUUCUCUUUUCUAAA